Molecule: non-coding RNA, 30 nt
Filed under: Mus musculus (house mouse)
Lineage: Eukaryota; Metazoa; Chordata; Mammalia; Rodentia; Muridae
Source: RNAcentral
UGCUCAAGAUAGCCAUUCAUUCGCCUUGGA